AAAAAAUCUGUUCCCACACCGGAUAUAUAUGUACAAUAAAUAUAAUAAUGAUCCCAAAGCACACCAAAGUUUGCACAUAAAAAAAAGUUUAUUCAUGCAUUGAAAAAAUACAUCAAUUAAUAAUGACAGAAAGAAAGUGCAUAAAGUAGUGCAUACCCAAUCUAUAAUACCAAUACCACAAUAGUAAUAAAGUGGACUAACAGACAAGUAUUUGUAACCAGACGAGUUGGACGCACAGGAACAGAGGGAUUUAGGGCCCUGCUCAAUGAGCUUGCAUGCUAGAUGGAGUUGUAUUAUGUGACACAAAAGGUAAGAGUAGGGUAAUUGAGAGUGUUUAGGGCCCAUUUCACGACCCUAUUUAAUACAGAUACCUGGUUUUAGCCGCACAGCUGUAGUUACUGUGUGUAAUUAUUGUGACCAUAUGCAACGCAACGUGCACACUCAUGUUGUUGGCUGUUUUUCUAGAAAACUCUGUCCCCAAAAUACCAUCAUAGCAGGAUAUGUGACUAGUUUUAUAUAAUUUCUGCUUUACCAUAUGCCGUUCAUAGUAAAUUUUAUAUUAUUAAAUAUUUACCUUGUACAUCUGCUGUUUAUAGUACAUUUUAUAAUAUUCCAUGUAUUAUUUCCUUGUGCACUAAUUUUUGGGACUCUGAGGUAACAUGAGAGAUACUGUGUAAUGCCUAGAAAAAUUUACAUUGUUUUAUGAUAUUCCUGUAAAAAAAAAAAAAAAAUGAUGAAAACAUUUUUGUUGUAUGUAUGUGCUAUGCAUCCCAUAUUCGAGAUAAAUGCUAUGUUGAUUUUUUUUAAUACAGAUCUUGGUAGUGAAACAGUUGAUACAUUUAAUAAAUACAUAAAUCUGUGUUUGUGGCUUGCAAGUGGUCUAUUUAGAUGAUACAUGACCUCUUUUUCCAAAAAAACCCAAAUAUAUUUGAAUGUUAAUGUGACUUGGAUCAAGUGAUUGUUACAUAUAUCCAG
Molecule: non-coding RNA, 975 nt
Organism: Pelobates cultripes (western spadefoot toad)
Lineage: Eukaryota; Metazoa; Chordata; Amphibia; Anura; Pelobatidae
Source: the annotation of a GenBank genome assembly